UGGGGAAUAUUGGACAAUGGGGGAAACCCUGAUCCAGCAAUGCCGCGUGUGUGAAGAAGGCCUGAGGGUUGUAAAGCACUUUUGUUGGGGAGGAGGAUUGAGUGGUUAAGAGCUGUUUAAUCGGACGUUACCCAAAGAAAAAGCACCGGCUAACUCCGUGCCAGCAGCCGCGGUAAUACGGAGGGUGCGAGCGUUAAUCGGAAUUACUGGGCGUAAAGGGUGCGUAGGUUGUUGUAUAAGCUAUCUGUGAAAUACCUGGGCUUAACCUGGGAAUUGCAGGUAAUACUGUAUGACUAGAGUACUGAAGAGGGUAGUGGAAUUUCCGGUGUAGCGGUGAAAUGCGUAGAGAUCGGAAGGAACACCAGUGGCGAAGGCGGCUACCUGGCCAGAUACUGACACUGAAGCACGAAAGCGUGGGUAGCAAACAGG
Molecule: ribosomal RNA, 429 nt
Filed under: uncultured bacterium
Lineage: Bacteria
Description: bacterial SSU rRNA
Rfam family: Bacterial small subunit ribosomal RNA
Source: RNAcentral